CCUACGGGCGGCAGCAGUGAGGAAUAUUGGUCAAUGGGCGGGAGCCUGAACCAGCCAAGUCGCGUGAAGGAUGCCGGCCCUACGGGUUGUAAACUUCUUUUGUCAGGGAGCAAUUUGGUCCACGCGUGGGCUUAGCGAGAGUACCUGAAGAAAAAGCAUCGGCUAACUCCGUGCAAGAAGCCGGGGUAAUACGGAAGGUCCGGGCGUUAGCCGGAUUUAUUGGGGUUAAAGGGAGCGUAGGCGGCAUGUCAAGCGUGCUGUUAAAUGUCGGGGCUCAACCCGGGCCUUGCAGCGCGAACUGGCGUGCUUGAGUCCGCGGAAAGCAGGCGGAAUUCGUCGUGUAGCGGUGAAAUGCUUAGAUAUGACGAAGAACCCCGAUUGCGAAGGCAGCUUGCUGCAGCGGAACUGACGCUGAUGCUCGAAAGCGCGGGUAUCGAACAGGAUUAGAUACCCGAGUAGUC
Molecule: ribosomal RNA, 461 nt
Filed under: uncultured bacterium
Lineage: Bacteria
Description: partial 16S ribosomal RNA
Rfam family: Bacterial small subunit ribosomal RNA
Source: RNAcentral